UUUGUGACUGAAGAAAUCGCUAAAAACUAAAAAAAAAAAUUAGUCACUAUGGCGUAUACGUAACAUAUUUUUUUAUUUUUUGAAUUGCGUUCAUAACUAUUAUUCGUUCAAAAUUUAGAUGUACCUAUGUUGUACAUCGCAGAGCUAAGCUUAAAAAUUUUAUUUUCUAAUGCACAAACGAUACAUAUGCUUGUUUGCAUCAGAUUAUUCUGAAACUUCACAUCAAAAAAAAAAAAAAACGAAAGGUAAACCAAAAAUCUUCUAAAAGAUAGACCUUAUUAAUGGAAUCAUUAGCUGACAAAAUUUGGUUUGUUUUAUUUAAAAAAUCAAAAUUUUAAAACAAAAUUAUUAAAAAAAGUAACCGACUUUUAUCGUAUUAAAAAUGUUGGUUACAAUUAAUUUAUCUGAUUGUCUAACAAGCCAGUCCCAGAUAUUUUCUUCAUUUAAUUUUCUUAUUACAUUCCAAAGAAAAAAAUCUACGUGAGAUGUUUCACUUAAUUUUAACCAUACUUACUGUAGUGUCAACGGUUUGAUUUAGUAUUAAAUCUUAUUAAUAGAAAAUUUUUUAUCACAUGGUGCAUUAUUGCCAUAGUAUGAAUAUUGAAGGUAUUUCCGAGCACUUAAAUCUAUUUGUGUCUUAUAACUGUCCAAAAAUAAAGUCGUAAAUAGUAGACAUUUAUAUAUUUUUAAUACUUUGAAUUUAUUUUUAACCUUAAUUACGUACAUUAGAUAAAAAAGUAUUAAAACAAUUAUAUUCGUUGGUUUUUAAUAAUAAAAUAACCAUUUCCAACAACAAGUAUAAAUCCUCUGCAUCAGUGAUUAAAUAUUUAUGUAGCUUAGAAGUAAAGCUUUGAUUUAUAGAAUUUUAUAUAUAUUUUUAUAAUCUUAAAGAAAAACACCAGUGAGGGGAUAUCGGUUAGAAAGGUCUACAUACGAUGAUGGGUGUGUAUGAUCUAUAUGAUUAUAUCUUAACCAACUAUAGACUUGACGUACAAGAUAUAGAUAGAUACUUUUUGUGUGACAAAAAUAAGAAAAAAAAAAAGAAGAAUAGAAGAUACUUUUCUGGAGUGGUAAAGAAUAUAAAAGCAGUUGCUGAGGCAACUUUCGGAUAGUUGUUUGGUGUGAGUGAAUAACUAUGGGUUAACUCUUAACGCAUCACUUCCAUUAUAUUGAUGAAAGAAACAAAAUUAUUUUUCUAUAUUAUUUUAAAAUUAUUGAAACAUAAAAAAACAAAACUGAAAUAAUGGAAUACAAAUUACUUGAUGGUCGAGCAGCUACUCAGCAAAAGCUUCUGAAAUGGAUUCGAAAAUCUACUAAAAAACUUAUCUCAAAUAUGGCCAUGUUGCGUAUAGAAGUUUCAUAUUGUCGAACUUUAUCUUAAAUUUUGUUUUUAGUUUUGUAAUAAUUAAAGUUGUUGUUAAUUUGUAAUUUUAAUAAUAAAAAAAAUACUAAUGUA
Molecule: long non-coding RNA, 1456 nt
Organism: Episyrphus balteatus (marmalade hoverfly)
Lineage: Eukaryota; Metazoa; Arthropoda; Insecta; Diptera; Syrphidae
Exons: 2
Source: RefSeq, a predicted model, not a curated record